AUUUACCAACAAAAUAACUAAAGGAUUAGUCUGAGAAGGAGCAGGUGGAAGCAAAUAGCUUAUUGGGUCCUGCCCCUAUUUCACAAAAUCAUAU
Etheostoma spectabile (orangethroat darter) is the source of this 94-nucleotide long non-coding RNA. RefSeq lists it as uncharacterized. Lineage: Eukaryota; Metazoa; Chordata; Actinopteri; Perciformes; Percidae. The transcript is spliced from 3 exons. The record is from RefSeq and is a predicted model, not a curated record.